AUGUCAGACCAAAGUGACAGCCAGAACAGGGAAGAAGAGCAGAUUCACAUGAGUGAGGGCACUAGUCCCUCUAGUUCAUCAGAUGAUGGCAGCAGGAGCACUCCUAGCAAUCUGCCCAAAGCAGCCACAAGAACCAGAAGGAAGAGAACCUCAGACUCAGAGGAUGAGGACUAUGUGGCAGCUGAAGAUGAGGCUACUUCGAAGAAAGUAGUGCUCAAGAAGGAGUAUGGCUCAGCAAAGACCACAAAGCCUGGACUUAAUAGGAAGGUCCCUGCCAAGAGGACACCUAUGCUGAAGGUCAGAGGAUCAACACAAGAACCAGAGAAACCUGAUCCCAAAGAGCCAGCUGCAGAAGGAAAGAAGAGAAAGGAAAGGGUCAGAAAGACCAUGGCCAGAGUUGUUGGACAACCUUCCAUGAUGGAAGAGGAGGAGGAAGAAGAGGUUGCUGCACCAGCACCCAAGGCACAAAAGCUUAUGGGUGAUGCUAUAAGUUCAGGGGUUGCAUCAUCAAAGACCAAAGAAGCACCCAAAGCUGCCUCCAAGGCCAAGUCUGCACCUAAGAGGAAUACCAGGAGCAUACCAGCUAUUGAGAAGAACAAGGCCCCAGUGCCUGAAGUUGCUGCUGAGGAAGAUGAGGAAGGACAAGUCCUGAGGAAGCUCAAACCCAAGAUUCCAGACCACAACGAUGCUCAUCCAGUGGCUGAGAAUAUGAAGCUGAGGAAAGAUGCAGGGCUCAGGCAAUGGAGAUUGUCUGAUCCAUAUGCAAUAAGGAGAAGAACUGUUGUUGAUUACAGGUUCCACACUAAGGAAUAG
Molecule: ribosomal RNA, 813 nt
Filed under: Triticum aestivum (bread wheat)
Lineage: Eukaryota; Viridiplantae; Streptophyta; Magnoliopsida; Poales; Poaceae
Description: partial small subunit ribosomal RNA
Source: RNAcentral